RNAcentral lists this ribosomal RNA (462 nucleotides) under uncultured bacterium. RNAcentral describes it as "partial 16S ribosomal RNA". It matches the Rfam family "Bacterial small subunit ribosomal RNA", at positions 28 to 507 of the family's 1533-position model. The record is from RNAcentral.
GACGAACGCUGGCGGCGUGCUUAACACAUGCAAGUCGAACGGUAAGGCCUUUCGGGGUACACGAGUGGCGAACGGGUGAGUAACACGUGGGUGAUCUGCCCUGCACUUCGGGAUAAGCCCGGGAAUCUGGGUCUAAUACCGGAUAGGACUGCGCGGUGCAUGCCGUGUGGUGGAAAGAUUUAUCGGUGCAGGAUGGGCCCGCGGCCUAUCAGCUUGUUGGUGGGGUAAUGGCCUACCAAGGCGACGACGGGUAGCCGGCCUGAGAGGGCGACCGGCCACACUGGGACUGAGACACGGCCCAGACUCCUACGGGAGGCAGCAGUGGGGAAUAUUGCACAAUGGGCGCAAGCCUGAUGCAGCGACGCCGCGUGAGGGAUGACGGCCUUCGGGUUGUAAACCUCUUUCAGCAGGGACGAAGCGUGAGUGACGGUACCUGCAGAAGAAGCACCGGCCAACUACGUG